UCGACCCCUUCAGUGCUGUUCUGUUAACGCGUUAAGUGUCCCGCCUGGGGAGUACGGCCGCAAGGCUAAAACUCAAAGGAAUUGACGGGGGCCCGCACAAGCGGUGGAGCAUGUUGGUUAAUUGGAUGAUACGCCAAGAACCUUACCAGGGCUUGACAUGUCGCUGACGACCUGGGAAACCAGGUGUUCCGCUUCGGCGGACAGCGUCACAGGUGGUGCAUGGUUGUCGACAGCUCGUGUCGUGAGAUGUUGGGUUAAGUCCCGCAACGAGCGCAACCCUCGCCGAAUGUUGCCAGCGGGUAAAGCCGGGGACUCUUUCGGGACUGCCUGAGUAAUCAGGAGGAAGGAGAGGACGACGUCAAAUCGGCAUGCCCCUAAUGCUCUGGGCUGCAAACGUGCUACAAUGGUCGGUACAAUGGGAAGCGAAGCCGCGAGGUGUAGCUAAUCCCCAAAACCGAUCUCAGUUCGGAUUGGGAGUNUGCAACUCGACCCCAUGAAGGUGGAAUCGCUAGUAAUCGUGGA
Molecule: ribosomal RNA, 522 nt
Filed under: uncultured bacterium
Lineage: Bacteria
Description: bacterial SSU rRNA
Rfam family: Bacterial small subunit ribosomal RNA
Source: RNAcentral